UCUGUACCAACUGGUUUAGAAGUGUGAAGC
Molecule: non-coding RNA, 30 nt
Filed under: Rattus norvegicus (Norway rat)
Lineage: Eukaryota; Metazoa; Chordata; Mammalia; Rodentia; Muridae
Source: RNAcentral